RNAcentral lists this long non-coding RNA (11567 nucleotides) under Glycine max (soybean). Its description in RNAcentral is "long non-coding RNA (GMAX_LNC002675)". Lineage: Eukaryota; Viridiplantae; Streptophyta; Magnoliopsida; Fabales; Fabaceae. The record is from RNAcentral.
CACAGAGAACACAUAAAACAUCAUUAAAUAGAUAUACAAGUAUUUACAUCAAGUACCUACAAGGAAGAACCAACAGAGGAUUUAGCUAUCCAUAUCUAGGAAGCUUCCUUUACAACAAAGAGAAGAGAAAAAUGAAGGAUUGAAGAAAUACAAGUAGUGGGGAUGUCUCCUCCACCUCUAGAACCUCACAAUCACUCACAAACUCAUCUCAAGCUCUCAGGACGACUUCCUCUUCAAGCUUUGUUCUCUUCAGGUCUUUGCACAGCAAAAUCUCUCAAAACUCUUUGGAUUCAGACCCUUCCCUCUCUAGAAUCUCUCACAUGCAAAAGCUCUUCGAGAAAAUGGCCAAAAUCCUCUCCAAAAUCUGAUUUCAGGCUUAAAUAGGUGGCUUUGUUUGUGCUAGUGCGCUUAGCGCGACUAUGGACUGAUCAGUGCGCAUUAGUGGAUUUCGGCUUAGCGCGUGCUUUUCUCGCUCAGUGGAUGAAUUGAAGCGGCGCGCUUAGUAGGAUGACCCUUCGCUCAGUGAACAUGCACAGCUCAUCCUUCUUCCAAAUUCAUCCUCGCGCUCAACUGAGGAGUGUUGCGCUCAGCGGAUGGCUCGCUGAGCCAAAAGAUUGGCUUAGCGAGAGGAUGAAAAUCAGCACUUCACAAACUUGCCUAAUUAACCUGAAAUUGAGAGGAAAUGAUUAUUAAACAUACAAAAUAGGAGUACUAUGUAUUUAUUACCUAUCUUUAACAAAAGUAAUUACAACACUACAAAAUAACCAUAAAUUGGAGGAGUUUGAUACAAUUUACACAAGUUUUAUAUACAAAAGUUAGUCGUAUUCAUCGACUAACAAGAGCUUCACAUGAGAGAGAGCAAGGAUCGAGAAUCUAGGGACAGAUGAUCGCUUUCCAAGCCCUUCUCUCAUGCAUUCAUUGUAUAGAAUCACUCUCACUACCAUGAGUAACUAAUCCUCUUGCUAAUAGGAUUGGAUGUAAUCUGUCAAACACUUUUGUAAUCUUUUAUAUAUAUAUAUAUAUAUAUCAGUGUUAGUGAAUUGAUUUUGAAUUUAAUGCUUGAGAUGAAUUGAUCGCUCAUUUCAUGAUUCAGGGUUUGGAUUCUAACUGGGAAGUAUUAUCCAAAUACAAAUCUCAAUUAAGUCACCCAAUGGUUAUAAUUGCUAGGAAUAAAGUUAGAAUUGAUGGUUGUUAAGAUUCUUGAAUUUAAUGCAAGUGUUUUGAGUUGAUGAUCAAGGAAUUGGUUGUUGAUCUUGAAAUCCUUAUAAUUUUCAUAGUUGAGGAAUUCACAUGAAAUGAAUCCAUAAAUCCAAUAACAUUGAAUAUAUAAGAAUCAUGUAUGUAUAAUCUAAAGAUUGCAUGAUGGUUAAAUAGGUGAGAUUCGAUCUCAAAGCUUUCUUCCAGUCAAUUUCUCACUUGUGCAACUUGCUCACUUUAUUUAUUUAUUUAUUUCUAUUAUGAAAAUUUGCAAAAAUGAACUUUUAUACAUUUGUAUUUAGUUUGUUUAGGGGUUUUCAUUAAAAUAGUAUAAAUUAUCAUAAUAUCUACCAAUCCCUAUUGAUGCAAUCCUACCCCACAAGGGCAUUGGAUAGAAGACUCCAAGUAGAUUGGGCCAGAGAUCCAAGGGAAGGCCCUAGGGUUCUCAUGAGCCUUAGGGUAGAUUUUGAGCCCAUGGGCUAAGUAUGAGCCCGCUUAUCUUUGUAAAUAUUAGAAUAGGUUUUUUCCUUCGUUUAGGCCUUGUAUUUUGGCCAUUCUAGUAGUAUAGGAUUUUAGCCUUGUAUUUCGAGGCAUUUUGAGUAGUCUUUGUAGUAAGGACUUUUUUUUGUAUUUUCAUGUAUUUUGUCAUGGGGGUGAGCUUAGCUAUUAUAGGGGGUGUGUAGCUAAGCUCUAGCUUCUCAUCUCAAGGAGGUGAGCUUAACUAUUAGAGAGGUAUGUGUAGCUAAGCUCUAGCUUCUUUAGGAAUCUUCUUAAGGAAGCUUCUCAAUGAGGUGAGCUUAGUUAUGAGAGGGGUAUGUGUAGCUAAGCUCUAGCUUCUCAAGGAAGUUUUCGCAAAGAAACUUCUCAAGGAAGUUUUCUCAAGAAAUCUUCUCAAGGAAGCUACCUAGUCUAUAAAUAGAAGCAUGUGUAACACUUGUUGUAACUUUGAUGAAUGAGAGUCUUGUGAGACACAACUCAAAGUUCAACAUCUCUCCCUCUUUUAUUCCUUCAAUUUCGUGCUCCCCCCCCCCCCCCCUCUCUCUUUCUCUCCCUCUUUCUUUUCCUCCAUUGAAGCAUCCUUCCAAGCUUCUUAUCCAAGGCUCAUCUUGGUGGUGAAGCUCCUUCUUCCAUGGCUUAUUCCCUGGCGCCUCCUCUCACCUCUUCUCCUUUGUCUUCCGCUGCAUCUCCAUGGUGGAAAAUCACCAUUAAAGGACCUCAUUGAAGCUCAAUGAUCCAGCCUCCAUAGAAACCCCACAAGAAAGCUUCCAUCACCUAUGGAUAUGACAACCCUUUUACCAUUAUCUAUUACAAACACUUGGUACGCUUGCCAAACCACCAUCACAUGUGGAAUAACCAAAAUGCAGUGUAUAACAUUUAUUAUCAUAAAGAGUGGAUGCCUUUUGAUUUUAACGCAUUGGGCACUGGAUAGAUAGUAAACAAAGCAAUUUAUCUUGGACGAUACAAAGUAUUGUUAAUUCCUUUUAUAUUUGAUCCUGUCCACUUGUCAAAAACUCAUUAGAACAUUAGUAAUUUAUACUUAAUGUUAUUCAUCAAAAUCCAUGAUAGAUGAGAAGAGUGGUCGUCUAGACCUAACACGAAGUUGCUUCGUGAAGAGGGAACCACCAGCAAUUGAGGGUUCAAGGCUCAUAAUUAAAAGCUCGACAAUUCUACUACGACUAUCAAAAAUAGUGUAGAUCACACUAAUCAUGGGGCAUUGCAUGCAUAUGACUUAAAAAGGAAUGAGUUGCUCCUGUCUCUUUUUAAAAAUCGUCACCUUUUAUUCCCACAAUUAGGUAUAUCAGGAAACAAUAUCCAAUUGAAGACAGUAUGGAAAUUGAUUUGAUUCUGUUAGAUAAAAAAGAAAGGAAGUUAUUGCACGGAGACUGAAAACUCCACCAUCAUUUCCGACCAAAGCUCCAACAAACUCAACCAUGUCUCACCAUAAACAACAACAAUAGUAGAUCAUUUUUAUUGGCAGAACCUGGCAGCUAGGCUAGUCAUGAGUCAUGAGUCUUGUAGCUUGGAACUGUCGAGGCUUGGACAACCCAUUGUUCUUUAAUUAAGUUUUUGCAAAAUUUCAUCAACGUAACGGUCUCAAUUCUUGGUAGCCCUAGCUGGCGUUUCACUGGCUAUUAUUGAUUCCCUAGAAUAUCUAGAUGAAGGGAAUCUUGGGACCUUUUGAGAACUCUUUCCUGUGAUAAAACUCUCCCUUGGUGCAUCAUGGGGGACUUCAAUGACCUAUUAUCCCAUGAUGAGAAAAAAAGGGUUGCAAUACCCACCCUAACUCUCUCAUGUUUGAAUUCAGAGAAGCAUAUGUUGAUUCCAAUUUGAUUGGCAUUCGUCUCCUAGGAUAUCCUUACACUUGGAUUAAAAGAAAAGGCUCCCCAAAUGAAAUACUAGAGAAGCUUGAACAUGCCCUAGUUAUAUCAAACUAGAUUGGAAAUUUCUCUAAUUCUUGUCUAACCAAUGCUAUAUCUUGCCGGUCUAAUAAUCUUCCUAUCCUCUUGAAGUUAAACUCUCACUCUCAAACUCAAAAGGCUAAUAGAUUUCAUUUUGAAAACUCUUUGUUGGAAGAGGGAGAGAUUUCUAAUAUUGUCCAUGGUACCCUUCACCUCUUGGCCAACAAGGAUAUCAUCUCAAAACUUCAUACCUAUGUGGAUGAGAUAGACAUUUAAGGAAGGCAUUCUUGUACUUGCUUUAGACGUUAAAUAAAUCAACGAAAGGCAAAUUUGGAAAUUUGUAGACAAAAGGAUAACCCUAUUUUAGUUGCAUGCUAUCUGAAUUCACUAUGAGCAAGAAGAACAUUUCUAGAAAGAAAGGUAAAAAUCUUACUAGAUGCAUGAUGGAGACUCUGAGUAUUUUCUACACAAAAAAUGCUAGGAAGAAAAAGAAUAUUAUUUCUCAUCUCUAUCAUCAUAAAGUUGGAGUUAUGAUGCACUUUCAUGGUGACCUCUAUUAUGUUGCAACUCGUAUUUUAGUAAGCUUUUUCUAAAAGAGAUGUUGAUGUCCAAGUUACAAUCAACCACCUGGACAAGAAAAUUAAUGAUGCUAACAACUCCUUUCUACUCGCUCCUUUCAAAGGCAAGAAGAGAGGUUUUCAUCAAAUCUAUGGCUCAAGCAUUUUCAUCCUAUUGCAUGAGCACCUUUCUAUUGCCCUCUUCUUUGAGAGAUGAUAUCUAGAAAAUGCUAAACUUCUUUUGGUGGGGUUCAAACAAUAAUGCUACUUGGGGAAUUGAAUCAAUUGGGACAAUAUCUAUGAGGAAGGAAUUUGGAGGAUUGGGAUUUCGACAUCUAUAUGACUUUAACUUGGCCAUGUUAAGGAAGCAAGGUUGGAAGUUUUGCUUCGAUUAAGAUGCCAUUGUAACUUGAGUAUUCAUAACUAAAUACUUCCCUAUAUAAUGAGGAUUUCUUGAAGGCUAUAUUGGGUCACAACCUAAGCUUCACAUGACGUAGCAUCUAUUCUUCACGGGGGAUGGUUAAACAAGGUCUUAGAUGGAAAUUGAAUGAUGGUUAUAUUGUUAAAUCUUGUAAGGCCCAUAUGAUCAGUCAUGUCACAAACACCUCUUUUCGUUAAAUAUGUUGACAAGCUAAUCAAGUUGUUCACCAUCUGUCACACGAGCAUCUAAAUUAUUUGCUAGUUUGCAUCAUUUUCAUGUCAUACUUGAUUAUAUUGAUGCCUUGAUUAUUAUUGAAAUGAUAUAAGCAUCUUUCAUUCAAAAAAAUGAACUUUAAUUAUGUAGGUUAAAUUGGAAUUUUUGGUCUCUCUAUAAUUUCUAAUAUGCAAUUUGGUUCCCCAUUUCUAAAUCAAGACAUUUUGUUCUCUUUUUUUUCUUUUCAGAAUCACCAACUUUGGUCCUUUCAUCAGUAGUUGAUAAUCCAAAGUCAGUUUUGAUGUGAUAUGUUGGUGCUUAUGUGAUAUUUAUGUAAGGUGUUGACAUGAGGCUGAUGUGAAAAGGGAUUAAGCCAAGUAAAAAAAUAAAAAAUAUCUAGGUAAGAAUUGAACCAAUGACCUUUUAUACAAUAACUGGGCAAUUGCCCACUAUUAAAUUACAUAUAUGUAAAUUAUACAUAUUUUUAUUAUAUUAGGAAUCAUUUCAAUUUGAAUAUAAAUUAUGUGAAUUCAUUUUCAUAUGUAAUAGAAUAAAAAACAGUAAAAUUUAAAUACUAAAAUAAUGUACAUAAUUUGUAUUACAUAAUAAAAUAAUUUAUACAAAUAUUUACAUAUAAAUUUAAGUACCUUUCUUGAUUAUAUAUCAUUUUUAUGCAAUUAUAUUGAUUUAUAUAAUUUGAUUAAUAAUAAUUUAUAUAUUAAAACCAAUUACAUAUAAUUUACACAUUAAUUUAUGGAAUUCAAUUAUUUUUUAUAACCAGAAUAAAAAAAUAACAUUUUUCAUAUUAAAAUUUUAUGAAUUUUAUAUUAAAAUAAAUUGUGUAAUUAACACUCUUUGUUGCCUUGUCAUCAUAUAGAAGGUCUCAUCCUCAAUUUUUAUUAACACACUUUUAAUAUUUCACUUUAUUUAAUCCAUUGUCACAUAAGUGUCCUAUCAACAACUAGGAGGAGGAGGAGGAGGAGGAGAUUGUUCAAUUGAUCUUAAUGACCUUGACUUGUUGAUUAUCAAGGGAAUAGCGCCAAUAAUAAGGGACGAAGUGACUUGUUCCCCUUACUUUUCUUAAUUUUCAUUUAUAUGAAUAUAUAAAUUAUAUAAAAAGAAAAUAUUUAAAUAUUAAUAUAUACAUAUAUUUAGAGUAAUUAUUUUAUUUAGGGGAUUUGACUAUGUAAAUAAAUAAUGAUAUUUAAGUGUUUUUUAUAGUCUUUAUUGUAAAGAUAUGAUUGUUUCUUUUUUUCUCUUUCCACAGAAAAUAUUUUAUUCUCCUUUCUAAUAAUUUUUUUCUUUCAUAAUAUCUUAUUUUAAAAGUUAUAAAUAAUUGUAUUUAUGAUUAAAUGAUUUUAUUAGAUAUUUAUGUUAAUUUGAUUCAAUUGAUUUGAGAAUUGAAUGUUAUUUACCAAUAUUUGUUAAUGGGAAAAAAAUUAUGAAUGAAAUAUGUUUGAAAUUGAGAACUUCAAUUUUGAGACACAUGAACAAAUAUCAUAUCAUUUAUCAUCAAUAUUCUAAUAUUUUCUUUUCUCCUUCAUUCUUCCUAUGUUUUUUAUUUCUUCUGGUUUUACAAUCCUAACUUCUAUUCUAAUACUUUUGAUUUCGAGAUUCACUAGAACUUAUAUUGGAUAUGCUUUUUAGAUGUAGCAUUUACCAUUACAAGAUAAAAAUUUAUUUCGGACGGAAUUUUUCCCAUGGAAAAUAUUUUAUCGAAAAUUUUGAAUUUUCCCACAGAAUUUACCGAAGGAAAAGUUUCCGUUAGAAAUUACUAAAAAACGGACGGAUGUUACUCACGAUCUAUUAUUCCAUCAGAAAGUUGACAUUUCUGAUGGAUUAUAUUGACAAAAUGGGAAUCCCUGGGAAACUGAAAUUUCCCAAAACAUAUCACGACAAGCCUAGCUGUCUAAGUCACUAGGUUUUUUCGCAUUCUUUUCCCCCUCCUCCCCCAUUUGUGCCCUUCACAGAUACCACACUAUCUUCUUCCCUCAUUCCCAUCCAAAUCCUCUCUCUUCGCCACCAUCGCUGCCGCCAUUGCUUCCUCUCCACUCUUCCUCCUCCCCUCCUUUCAACACUCCCUCUCCUCGGUCGUAGGACCCUCUCUCUCUCUCUUACAUUCUGUGUCGUUUGAUUUUUUAUAUGUAGUAAUAACUAAAAGUACAAUGUUGAAUCAUUUUGCAACUCCUUUCGACGUUGUCCUUGUUAAUUCUGAGGAAAGUUUGAGGUUUUCUUCUUAUUAUUAUUAUUAUUUUAUUUUUUCUAGGUUUCGUUUAUGGCUUUGGUCAUGUUAUGUGAGUGUUUAUGAGUGAUGCUACAAGACAUGCCAUGCAAGGUUUGAUUAGCAAGAAUCAGAUCAUGGGAGGAAGGGAUUUUGAGUAUGAUGAGGCGAGGGAGUGGAAAGUUUGAAUUUUUAUGCUUUUGAUCAUGUGGAUUUUUGUGGUUAGGGGUUCAUGUAGGGUUUCUAAUUUUGGACUCCAGAGAAAAGAGUUUUUUUUCUCUUUGUUUUGUUUGCAGCUUUGGUGAUCUGAGUGUUUAUGACUGACGUUACGAGAGACCAUGCGGGUUUGAUUAGCAAGAUUCAGAUCAUGGGAGGGAAGGAUUUUGAGUCUGAUGAGGUGAGUGAAGUGGAAAUUUUGGAUUUUAAUGGCUUUGAUCAUGCUGGUGCUUGUGAUUAGGGGUUCAUGUAGGGUUUCUAAUUUUGGACUGGGGAGAAAGUUUGAGGGUUUUAUUUUUCUGGGAUUUAGUGAAUUUAGUGGUGAGUGUUUAGUGAGUGGUGCUUGGACUGAGUGGGAAUUACUGUGGAGUCUAUGACAUUGGCUAUUGAUUUUCCUUGUUUUGUUGAUUCUGAAUUGGAUUUUUCUUUGGUGAUUCAUUAUUAAUUUAUUACCUUGUUUGUUUCUAAAAGAUUCAUUAAAUUGAGUUCAGUUUUAGGGGGGAAAUAGGUGUGUUUUAUUUUUCCUGAUCAAGUGGGGGGUUUAAUGUAAUAGUUGGGUAAGAUCGAUUAUUUGAUAGGAAAAGGAAGUAAUUUAUUUUCAAAGAUAAGUGGAGGAUGGGAAAUUCUUCAAAAUAGAAAAAGUUGUAUGCAAAAAUGAUAGAACAAAUUAAGAAUGCAGCAAGUCCUGCCCAUUUUUUUUUUUUGCUUAAUAGAGAUAGCAAUUCCCCUGAAAAAGCCAUGAACAGACACCGAAGAGUGGCCAUAAACAUAGCUUUAUUCUAUAUCAAGCUUUGGACCUAAGAGACUUUCUUAGAGAUGCAAUCAUUCGUCUCUUUUUAUAAUGAAUGUGUAUUCGAUAUUCAAUUGAUAAAACCUUUCAUUCCCUAUAUACUUUUUCUCUUUGAUUUAGCUUUUAAUUUUCACAAUUGCCUUCUCUUGAUAGAAUUUACUAUAUAUUGUGUUCUCUGUAUUUUUUUAUUAUGAUUUCUAGCAUUUGACGUUGAUACGGAUUUUUAAAUGUACCUUGUUGUGCUUUUGUUCUGUUAUUUUCUCAUAUAUGUGUGAAUAAAUCAAUGGAGAGAGCUGACUUUUCUUUUCUGAUUAAUUUCUGUUGAAUAGAUGACUCGUUGCAUGUCGUCUUCUAUUUGACUCCGGCUUGGUGUGCACCUUGUAAGUUCCUAUGGCUUUUCUUCAAGGUUAGAUGCUUAACUUCAUGUGUCUGGCUUUCAACUUGAAGUUCUAGAUUCUUUUUUGUUUGACAAGUGACCUCAGAUAUCUUAAGAAGGGGGGGUUGAAUUAAGAUAUUACAAAUUAUUUCUCCAAUUAAAAUUCUAUUUAACUUUCUAUUCAAGUUAUAAAUUCCCUUAAUAAUGAAUUUCUUAAAUAUUGAUUCAAAUAGAACAAUUUGAAUAUGAAUAUAAAACAAUAAUAAAUAAAGGAGUUUAAGGGAAGAGAAAGUACAAACUCAGAUUUAUACUGGUUCGACCACACCCUUGUGCCUACGUCCAGUCCCCAAGCAACCCGCUUGAGAGUUCCACUAUCUUGUAAAUUCCUUUUACAAGUUCUAAACACACAAGGACAAUCCUUCCUUUGUGUUUAGAAUUAUUUCACAACAAGAGACCCUCAGUCUCUUAAUCCCUUUUCAGAAUGAAGAAGAAGAAAAGAAGAAAUCUCUCUUGAAAGAGAUAAAUUGAACAAUUUGAGCACUCAAAUAAUUCCUUAUUGAAUCACAAGAGUUUUGGCCAAGGAAUUUGUAAGAGGAUAAAACGAUUUUGCUUUUUAAGAGGAUAAGACCUUUUUGUUCUGAAAAAAACUCUUCGCAAAUUCGUGUCUCAAGUCACAUAUAUAUAGGCCUUUGAUAGCCAUUCAAGAACCACACAAAAAGAUGUGACUGUUGAGAAUAUUUUCUGAAAAUCUCCUUUGGUAAUUGAUUACAGUAUGUGUGUAAUCGAUUACAAGCUUUAAAAUUUGAAUUAAAACAUUAAGUAACUGUUGGUAAUCGAUUACCAUAUAUGUGUAAUCGAUUACACAAUGCAAAUUUUGAAUUCAAAUUUUAAUAGCUGUUGUAAAUCAAUUUUGGCCACUGGUAAUCGAUUACAUCCUCUAGUAAUCGAUUACCAGAGAGUAAAUUUCUUGUAAAAUACUUUUUAACUUAAAUUUCUUGGCCAAACCUUUUGCUACUUCAAUUGGAAUUCCCCUCCUAUUUAAUAUACCCUUUCUAAGACUAGAGACUUGUCUUGAUCAUCCAUCCUAAAUAUCUUUAAUUUCUUUGUCUUGAUUAAAGCUUUGAGACGCAUGUGAACCUUUGGCAUCAUCAAAACAUUCAGUUUGAUCCUUUGUCUACAUUUUUUUGUUGGCUCAAACUCUCAACCUCUUUCGUUAGUGAAGUUAAUUGUUCCUCAAACUUUGUUGGUUCAACUUAGGAACCUCAUUUGUACAAUCACCUCUAUCAAAUUCCAACUUAAGGGUGCCAAGAUCAAAUACAUUGUGAUAUUCUUUUUUUGACUUUAUCUUAAUACCAUGUACUUCCUCUGGGAAAAGUAUUUAGACUUUGAGUCAUAGGAAGACACUAUAGCCUUCUUGAUUCUUACUUUAGAGUUAUGUAAAAGGAUACACUACUACAAAAAGGCCUUCUAUGACGGUUGUAACACAUAUUCAAAGACGGUUCAUUGAAAGUCACCAUUGAAGCCAACGUCAUUGAAAGUCUAAGACUUUUAAUAACGUUUCCACAAAAAACCGUCUUAGAAAAAGAUACAUUUCUAAGACGGUUGUUAGUUAAAAACCGUCUUAGAAAAAAUGAUUCUAAGACGGUUCUUUAAAGAACAGUCUUAGAAUCAUUUUUUUUUUAAAAAAAAACAUUUGAAACUUAGUUAAGAUUCUAAGAUAGUAUUCUAAAAAAUCAUCUUAGAAAGUUUACUUUCUAAGACGCUUAUCUGAAAAAUCGUCUUAGAAAGUCUUUUUUAAAAAAGAAAAAAAAAUGUUAAAAAUUUGAGGAUUUUAAGACGAUUUUCCUAAAAACCGUCUUAAAAGAGUAUCCUUCUAAGUUGGAUUUUUUAGAACCUUCUUAGAAUAUAUUUUUUUUAAAAAUUAAAAUAAUGAAAAUAUUAUCAUUAAAAAAUUCAAUUUUCAUCUCAACAUCCCUAACUUCAGCAGGUACAAUAUCCCUUAAGUUUUUUUUAUCUAGAAAUUCAUUAACACUAACAACAAUGAUGUGUUAAAAGCCAAUAAUUAUCUUUAACUGAAACCAAUUUAAAACCUAGAAAGCUUCACAAACUAAAGAAAAUAAAACUAGAUAGGUUCAAAUAAAUGGUGACUGGGAGCAGAAGGCCCACUUUUCCAAUGUGAUCUCAAACAAAUGAAUAGCUCAUUCAUUUUCCAUAAAACUCUUAGUAGGACUGCCAACCAACACUGAAGGACUACUACUUUAAGUUUAUGACACAAAAUUUUGAUCCAAUCCAAAAAAGCAGUAACUAUCCCCAACAAUCACUUCAGCUGGAGCAAGUAACUAUCAAUCUAUCUUGGGAAUCACAUACAGUGUGUUAAUAAAAGAUGCAAAGAAAUUACAAACUAAGAAAUUAUGUAUUUUCAAAGUACAAAAUUCUCUAUGAAUAAAAAGUGUGCAUAAACAUUUAGCUGUAAAAAAAAAAAACUACACUUACUUUUAGCAGUAAAAAAAACUACGCUUAAUUUUACGUUAUUUUCAUUUGAGGGAAAUAGUGAAGACUUACCAUGUAAGCUAGACUGAGACAAGGAACGCUUCCUUCGCAAACCAUUGAAAUAAGUAUAUUAAACACAGUAGAUGUAGAAGAAUCUUUUCGUCCUGCUGUAAGCUAAUAUGCCAGUAGUCCAUUAUAAAAGAUAAAUUUGACAAUUUAAAGGCUCCAGUUCAUGUUGUAUUUUCAAAGUACAAAAUUCUCUAUGAAUAAAAAGUGUGCAUAAACAUUUAGCUGUAAAAAAAAACUACACUUACCUUUAGCUGUAAAAAAAACUACGCUUAAUUUUAUGUUAUUUUCAUUUGAGGGAAAUAGUGAAGACUUACAACGUAAGCUAGACUGAGGCAAGGAACGUUUCCUUCGCAAACCAUUGAAAUAAGUAUCUUAAACACAUAGUAGAUGUAGAAGAAUCUUUUCGUCUUGCUGUAAGCUAAUAUGCCAGCAAUCCAUUAUAAAAGAUAAAUUUGACAAUUUAAAGGCUUCAGUUCAUGUCAUGUGUUUUUUAAAUCUAGAGAAUUGGUAUAUUAUUUUAUAAAGAAAUUUUUAUAAUUUUUUUUAAUUAAAAACAUUCACAACACCGUAAAAUUACUUUAAGACUAUAUGUAUUAUUUUAAAAGGAAUCAAGUAUAU